AUACGUAGGGGACGAGCGUUGUCCGGAAUUACUGGGCGUAAAGGGCGCGCAGGCGGAUAUUUAAGUCAGCUGUAAAAGGCAUGAGCUCAACUCAUGUAUGCGGUUGAAACUGGGUAUCUAGAGUGCUGGAGAGGUAGGCGGAAUUCCCGGGGUAGGGGUGAAAUGCGUAGAUAUCGGGAAGAACACCAGUGGCGAAGGCGGCUUACUGGCCAGCAACUGACGCUGAGGCGCGAAAGCCAGGGGAGCGAACGGGAUUAGAUACCCCGGUAGUCCUGGCCGUAAACGAUGAAUGCUAGGUGUGGGUGUCGAGAGGCAUCCGUGCCGGAGUUAACGCGAUAAGCAUUCCGCCUGGGGAGUACGAUCGCAAGAUUGAAACUCAAAUGAAUUGACGGGG
This 394-nucleotide ribosomal RNA is filed under the name uncultured bacterium. RNAcentral's name for it is "partial 16S ribosomal RNA". It matches the Rfam family "Bacterial small subunit ribosomal RNA", at positions 523 to 918 of the family's 1533-position model. The record is from RNAcentral.